RNAcentral lists this ribosomal RNA (373 nucleotides) under uncultured organism. Its description in RNAcentral is "partial 16S ribosomal RNA". It matches the Rfam family "Bacterial small subunit ribosomal RNA", at positions 527 to 896 of the family's 1533-position model. The record is from RNAcentral.
GUAGGUGGCAAGCGUUGUCCGGAAUUAUUGGGCGUAAAGCGCGCGCAGGCGGUUCUUUAAGUCUGAUGUGAAAGCCCACGGCUCAACCGUGGAGGGUCAUUGGAAACUGGAGAACUUGAGUACAGAAGAGGAAAGCGGAAUUCCACGUGUAGCGGUGAAAUGCGUAGAGAUGUGGAGGAACACCAGUGGCGAAGGCGGCUUUCUGGUCUGUAACUGACGCUGAGGCGCGAAAGCGUGGGGAGCAAACAGGAUUAGAUACCCUGGUAGUCCACGCCGUAAACGAUGAGUGCUAAGUGUUAGGGGGGUUUUCGCCCCCCUUAGUGCUGCAGCUAACGCAUUGAGCACUCCGCCUGGGAGUACGGCCGCAAGGCUG